Molecule: small nuclear RNA, 102 nt
Filed under: Dasypus novemcinctus (nine-banded armadillo)
Lineage: Eukaryota; Metazoa; Chordata; Mammalia; Cingulata; Dasypodidae
Source: RNAcentral
UCGCUUUGGCAGCACAUACACUAAAACUGGAACAAUACAGAGAAGAUUAGCAUGGCCCCUGUGCAGGGAUGAUCCACAAAUUUGUGAAGAUUCCAUGUGUUU